This 494-nucleotide ribosomal RNA is filed under the name uncultured bacterium. Its description in RNAcentral is "partial 16S ribosomal RNA". It matches the Rfam family "Bacterial small subunit ribosomal RNA", at positions 28 to 507 of the family's 1533-position model. The record is from RNAcentral.
GACGAACGCUGGCGGCGUGCUUAACACAUGCAAGUCGAACGGAAAGGCCUGCUUUCCCUUGUGGAUUGCGGGUACUCGAGUGGCGAACGGGUGAGUAACACGUGAGUGAUCUGCCCCCAACUUGGGUAUAAGCCUGGGAAACUGGGUCUAAUUCCCGAUAGGACUGCAGGGUGGUGCCUGUGGUGGAAAACGAUUUUCUAGUGGUUGGGGAUGAGCUCGCGGCCUAUCAGCUUGUUGGUGGGGUAAUGGCCUACCAAGGCGGCGACGGGUAGCCGGCCUGAGAGGGUGGACGGCCACAUUGGGACUGAGAUAUGGCCCAGACUCCUACGGGAGGCAGCAGUGGGGAAUAUUGCACAAUGGGCGGAAGCCUGAUGCAGCGACGCCGCGUGGGGGAUGACGGCCUUCGGGUUGUAAACUCCUUUCGACCGCGAGGAAGCCACCUGGUUGGAAGGGUGGUGACGGUAGUGGUAGAAGAAGCACCGGCUAACUACGUG